AUGACUGAGCAUCCCCCAGUCAGAGGGGCCCUGCAGCGCGUGGCAGCCACCAACAGCCAAGGAUGCGGAAGGGAAGCGCGGAGAGCGGAGCGGAGAGGCGGCGGCGCCCGAGGCUGCAGCGACCACCCCCACGCCGCCCGCCCGCGAACUCGCCGCGGGUGCUGGGCCGCGCUGGCCGCGUUUGAAGUCUCCGGCGCCGCUGCUGGUUGGCCGGCUCGGGUCACGUGCACCCAGGCAGGAGUUUCCCCGACAGCUGGAGGCUGCGUGGGAUCCGGCGGCGGCUCCGGAGCUCGGCGGUGCGGCCUUCCCCGCCCCCUCCUCCCUCCUCCCCCGCCCGCUUCCGCCCGGCUUAUUAUCCUCCUUAUUGACAAACAGAGCGGCCGCGGCGGCGACUCUCCGCGUGCAUCUGUAGCCAAGCCAUGGGAGACAAGAAGAGCCCCACCAGGCCGAAGCGGCAGCCGAAGCCGUCCUCGGAUGAGGGUUACUGGGACUGUAGCGUCUGCACCUUCCGGAACAGCGCCGAGGCCUUCAAGUGCAUGAUGUGCGAUGUGCGGAAGGGCACCUCCACCCGAUCCACAUUCUUUGAAGCUAUUGUGAAUGCCUCGAGGACCAAGGAACCGUUGAAAUUUCCAAUUUCAGGAAGAAAAUGACCUUCAUAUACAAAAGUAAAGCCACAAGAAUAACCAAGACAGGUCCGAAAGAAGAAAAAGAACAAUGAGGAGGGGAUUGUGCCAUUGGAUAGCAAGACUGAUAUUAAACUUGGCAGUGUUUAGAAUGGAUCGCAAUGACAAUAAAUUGCUACACACAGCAUGGGAUGAAUCUCCCAUGCUUAACGUUGAGCAAAAGAAAUGAGAAAAUAUUACGUAUUGUAUGAUUUCAUUCACAGGAAGUUCAAAAACAAGUAGAAGGAAGGGUGCAUGGCCGGCUCAGUCAGUGGUGUAGCAUGCAGCUCUUGAUCUCAGGGUUGUGGGUUCAGGCCCCACAUUGGGCGUGGAGCCUACUUAAUUACAAAAAAAAAAAAAGCAUAACUAAUCUAUGGUGAUAGAGGUCAGCAUAGUGAUUUUCUUGGAAAUAUGGUACUGAUUGGGAGGGAGCAUUCUAGAGCAUGAGAAAUGUUAAUAUUUUGAUCUGGGUUGGAUCACAUUGAGGGUAUAUAAUACUUAAAAAAUCAAACUGUAUACUUUAUGUAAAUUAUACCUCAAAAAAGUAAAAUAUAAAUUUAUGAUAUUUAAAGUAGUAUAGUCUUGGGGCGCCUGGGCGGCUCAGUCAGUUAAGCAUCUGACUUCAGCUCAGGUCAUGAUCUCACGGUUCGAAGAGUUUGAGCCCCGUGUCCGGCUCUGCUGAUAGUUCAGAGCCUGGAGCCUGCCUCGGAUUCUGUGUCUCCCUCUCUCUGCCCCUCCCCUGCUCAUGCUUUGUCUCUGUCUCACAAAAAUAAAUAAAAUGUUAAAAAAAAUUUUAAAGUAGUAUAGUCUUAAUACAGGAAAAGGCGGAUUAAUAGAAUCGAGAGUUCAGAAAUCGAUUUAUACAUAUUUGAAAAGUUGGUAAGUGCUAGAGAUGGCAUUUUCUAUCAGGGAAACAGAGUGGACUCUUUAAUUGGUUUUCCAUAUGGGAGGGAAGACAGGUCUCUACUUCAAACCAUAUGCAGAAAACAGUUCUGUUUCAACUUUACACUAAGAACAAACAACUGUUUAAUAAGGAAGAAAAUACAGAAGACUGUAGGUCUUUACGGGGCGCCUCAGUGGCUCAGGUGGUUAAGUAUCUGACCCUUGAUUUUGGCUUGGGUCAUGAUCUCAUGGUCAUGAGAUCAAGUCCCACAUUGGGCCCCACAUGGAGCAUGGAGCCUGCUUGGAAUUCUAUCCCUCUCUCUCCCCCUUCUGUACUUGUGUGCAUAUUCUCUCUCUCUCUCUCUCUCUCUCUCUCUCUCUCUCUCUCUCUCUUCUUUCUCUCUAUCAAAAAAAUAAAAAGAAUAUGUGUCUUUAGGAUGUGUGAGGCUUUAACAAGUCAAGAAAAGAAUGAACCUUUGAAGAUAAAGACAUCAGAGAUAAAGGAUCCAACUACUUCAGAAAGAAAACCUUAGGUUUAAUAAAAUACAUCACAAAUUAACUCAUAUAUAAGUGGCAUGACUGGGAGUUAGGUGCAAUGUCUACAAUAUUCAGUGGAUUCGUGCCCAGAAUAUAUGAAGAUGAAAAUAAUAGGACAGAUGAUACAAAUGCAAAUAAAGUGAACAAUGGAUAUUAAGGCAAUUCACAACAGAGGAAAGGAAAUUGGAAUGGCUAAUGAACUGGAAAGAUGCUUAGUCUCAUUUGCAGUGAAAUGCAAUUAAAAACUUAUGAGCCAUCAAUUUUCACCCAUUAGCUCAGGAUCGGGUAAGUGUUACACAGUUGAAAAUGUGCAUAUCCUCGUAUCCAGAAGGUAUUCAAGAUAUUAUUAGUUUAGAGAAAGUGGCACAUUUGCCCAGGGAGAUUUCUAUAGGGAUGUUCAUUUGGAAAAAAAUCUAAAUGUCUGUCUGUAAGAGGCAUGGAUAAAUAAGAAAUAAAAUAGUUAUAUUAACAGAGAUUUACCAAAUCUGCUUAGAUUAUCAUCAUUCGUGACUUUUUUAUAUUUCAAGAAAAAAAGUUACACUGUCUAUGCCCAGGAAUUCUUUUAAGCAUUUAUAAACAUGAAUUAUUUUAGUCCUCGUAAGAACUCAGAAAUUGGUACAAUCAUUAUAUCCAUUUUACGUAUGGGAAUACUGAAGCAUAGAGAAGUAAAUAACUUACCACUUUCAAAGGUGGUAAAUAGCAGAGCUGUGAUUGAAAGCUAGGAUUUGAAUCUUACUUGACUGGCUCCAUAGUCCACUAUGCCAUGCUGCCUUCUGAUAUAGUUAAAUAAGGAGACCUCAGAAAUGUAAUGUGAGGUCAAAGCAGAACGUUGUGUACAGUGUGAUCUCACAUCAAAUUCAUGAUGGUAGUCACUUCUGGAUAGGGUUGGUAGGAGAAGAAGAUCUUAGUGAUAGUGGUAAAAGGAAGCUGUAUGGAACUACAUGUUUUUCCUUAAAGAAUAUGUAUAUUUAUAGCUUUUAAACACCUAGAUUUAAUGUAUGUAUAUUUUUACAAAAGUAAAAACUGGAAGGAUUGACCUAAUUGUUUUAAUCUGCAUUUAUUCUUGAUAUUGGUUUGUAGUAGAAAAAGAAAGCAGUGGCCCUAGCACAAGGACCGUGAUUUAGUUUAGUUCUGAGAUAGCAGAUGAGUGCCAGACACCGGGUUAGGUCCCAACAAUAGGGAGGUGGUGAAUAGGUUUCAUCUUCUCUCUUUAAGGAAAUUAAAGUUUUUCAGGGAAAGAGAUAAAUAAUUAUAAUUUACUGUGUUACGUACAGAUCUGUUUUCUUUUUGUUUUCCCUAUUCCCACCUUCCCUCUAAAUACAAAUAGGAGAAAGGGGAAACAUUGUGAUUUGGGGUAUGGGAAACAGGCAGUGAAAUGUCAGUGGUGAUCCUAUUCCCUGUUCUUUUACAAAACUCCAGAGAGUAAACUCUAAUGGUCAGAGAUCGUAGCUUGUUCAUGAAUUUAGGAUAAUCUGGGUGCUUAACUGGUGAAUAACUGGUAUAUUUCACUCUCAAAUUAACUAGCACCUGAACCCAAAUUUCUCCUUAGCCAUCUGGAUGUCUUCCAUUGGUUCUGUUUCUGCAGUUGGUUACCGGAAGUCUAUGGUAGUUUGACUAAGAACACUGUAUGAAGCGUUAAAUUGUUUUGUGCUAAAGAACUUUGACUUGAGAAAUAUUUUAAUUUGUAGGAAAUUUUGGAUCUCUAAAAUCCAAUUUUCUUUUCAUUUUUAAUAAUUUUAAGUCUUUUUUUUUAAAGUUUAUUUUGAGAGAGAGAGAGCACCCAUGAGCAUGUAAGAGCAAGAGAAGGGCAGAGAGUGGGAGAGAAUCCUAAGCAGGCUCCACACUGCCAGUGCAGAGACUGACCCAGGGCUCCAUCUCAUGAACCGUGAGAUCAUGACCUGAGCCAAAAUCAAGAGUUGGACUCCUUUUUUUUUUCCCCCCACUUUUUAAAAAUGUUUAUUUAUUUUUGAGAGAGACACAGAGAGAGCGUGAGCAGGGAAGGGGCAGAGAAAGAGAGGGAGGCAGAAUCUGAAGCAGGCUCCAGGCUCUGAGCUGUCAGCACAGUUCAGAUGCGGGGCUCAAACCCAUGGACCGCGAGAUUGUGACCUGAGCCAAAGUAAGUUGAUUAAUCUACUGAGCCAUCCAGGUACCCCAAGAGUCCGACUUCAACUAACUGAGCCACCCAGGCACUCCCAAUUUUAUUUUCAUUGUGCGGAGUCCAAUACAUUUUUUUAAAACUAGUAGUCUUCCAAUACUGGGAUAGUACAAUUGUUUUUCUGUAUUCUCUUUGAGUCAGUGCUGUCUUGUACAAGUGUUUAUGUUCUUAUUUAUGAAAUUCUUAAUUUCCUAAAGCCAUAUUGUCUUCAAAUUUCUAGAUGGACCAUGGACUGUGAAAUGGUAUUAGUGUUCAUAGUAUGAGAAUCCCAGUGUCUUCUAAAGUCUGUCAUAGUAUCUCAUAAAAAAUAGUUACUGUUAUUUGCUUUCACCCUAGUGAGAGAGGUGUAUUUUCCUUGAUAGAAAAUUAGAAUCUGUGUUAGGUGAGAAUCUUUUCCAAAAGGGCGAAUGUGAAUAUCUAUUUUUUCUUAAGUUUAUUUAUUUAUUUUGAGAGAGAGAGCAGGGGAGGGGGAGAGAGAGAGGGAGAGAAAGAGAGGAUCCCAAGCAGGCUCCACGCUGUUAGUGCAGAGCCUGACGUGGGGCUCGAACUCAGAAAACCAUGAGAUCAUCACAGAACGUGAAACCAGUAGUCAGAUGCUUAACCAACUGAGCCACCUGGGUGCCCCGCAAAUGUGAAUAUCUUAAAAAUUGCUGAGAAUGGGUAAAUUUGAAUAAAUCAUAAUGAAAAGUG
Molecule: RNA transcript, 4926 nt
Organism: Neofelis nebulosa (Clouded leopard)
Lineage: Eukaryota; Metazoa; Chordata; Mammalia; Carnivora; Felidae
Gene: YAF2
Gene name: YY1 associated factor 2
Exons: 4
Source: RefSeq, a predicted model, not a curated record